CCCCCCCGGCUCAUCGGACCCUUGGCUGUGCUGGCACAGCACACAUUGUCCUUGCUGUGCUCAUGUGUGUCUAACUGCCUACCACAGAGGGAUGGGGAUGUAUUCAAGAAACCUCUGGGUAAGAUUUACUCCUUGUCUUGAAGAGCACUGCUCAGGGAUCCAUUUGCCUGCACACAUAAAAGUCCAAUAAGACACAGACAGGAGUUUCCAGCAAAGGAACUAAAGAUUUAUUUAAGGAAAUGGCACCAAACCUGGAGACACAGAAAAGAACUCGUUCCAAGGAUCAGGGUCUGAGGUGGGGCAUCAAACAAAGCCGACUGGAUGAUGUUUCCCUCCCAGCCCAGGGCUGGGCCAGGUGGACUAGACAGAAGCUCACAGUUCCCCCUGGCAGCACGCACUUAGAGGAGAGGGAACAUAAUGUCCCUGAAGAAAGGGGUUGUUGAAAUGUGUACACAAAAGUCUGAAGGUCCAUUGUCACUGUCAGAGCCAAUCUCUGCAAGUGUGUCCUGCACUGCAGGAGGGGAAUAUUGCUGGAGUUUCGGCCAGUGGCUCUCCCUACCCAAACAUGGUUAUACAAGGACUGCAAUCCA
Myotis daubentonii (Daubenton's bat) is the source of this 590-nucleotide long non-coding RNA. RefSeq lists it as uncharacterized. NCBI's taxonomy places the organism in Eukaryota, Metazoa, Chordata, Mammalia, Chiroptera, Vespertilionidae. The record is from RefSeq and is a predicted model, not a curated record.